UUCUUUCUCUCUCGCUGCUUCCGACGGGUGAUGUCAUUUCCGAGCCGGACGUUUUGCUUCGGACAGAGUGGCUGACUUGGUGCUUCCCAGGCUCGUGUGUGUGUCACCUAAAUGGCCUGCUGUGUUGCUGAGGUCCGGUGGUGGUGACCUGGUGGCGGGGUUCCCCCCCCUUUUCGUGUGCUGUGCUCCCCUGGGUUCUGGGUCUCCUCACUGUGUGCGUGUGUGAUUGUCACAAGUGUCUGGGUGCUUAUAUUUUUGGUUGGGGUUUCUCCACACCAUCAAUAGCCUCUUCACCACGGUAAGCCUCAGCCCUAGUUUAGUCCCCCAUUUAUUUCAAAUGUGCACACAAAAUAUUAGGCUGAUUGGACUAAUAGUUUGCAUAGCUGCGUACAGACAGACACACGAUAAACACACAACUGGCAUAACAACUAGUCUGUAAUACAAGCUACUACAGGUGGUUUUAUUUUGUUAAUAAUUUUCUAACACACAAGAUUAAAUGGUUUCCACACAAGAACUGUUUUGACUGGAAAAGACCUCAGAGUUGAGAGCAGACUGAGCAAACACUGUCCGCUAAUGGCAGCCGUGUUGCUUUACCAUUUGUGCAUGCAUACUUUUAGAUCCUGCCAAGCCAACUGUAUACGCUGCAGGAGCUCUGUUGCUCCACAGAUAAGAAACAAUAAA
Molecule: long non-coding RNA, 681 nt
Organism: Epinephelus lanceolatus (giant grouper)
Lineage: Eukaryota; Metazoa; Chordata; Actinopteri; Perciformes; Serranidae
Source: RefSeq, a predicted model, not a curated record